RNAcentral lists this long non-coding RNA (708 nucleotides) under Pan troglodytes (chimpanzee). Its description in RNAcentral is "long non-coding RNA NONPTRT015606". Lineage: Eukaryota; Metazoa; Chordata; Mammalia; Primates; Hominidae. The record is from RNAcentral.
GUUCAAAAGACAAGCCGACCAAGACAGCAUGUAAGGGCCGUUGCUGGAAAUGGUGCAGGAAGAAGCAAAAGCCUGCUGAAAGGAGGGCGUCGAGGACGCAUCAGCCCGGAGCAUCGUGGAUUUGGGUCCGAUGGGGCUCUCUGACAUCCCCACAGCGUGAGUGAGCGUCUCAGGGCAGCUUCGUGGUUCUGUAGCGGGAACACAGGAAGCAGAAAGACCUCGGUUGUAGGACUGGAGAAGUUAUAAUCUCUGCUGCUUUUGCAUGUUCCACAAGAAACUGUGUUGACUUUGAGGCUUUCUCUCAUCCAUGGCCAUACUGAACAUGACAUCACUGCCCGUAAUAGGCUGGAGGAGGCGGCCAGCCCUGCACCCACAAGCAUGGGUUUAUUCUCACCCAUCACUGUUUCCAAAAAUAAAGCGACCUAAUUCAGUCCCCCAUAGUGUCCAGCCCAUUACCACAAGCUGGUCAUGUGAGGAGAUGCACAUUGGGCCACCUGAGCUGGUCCUCCCAGCCCCAUCCCCCACAAAGGCUGAUGUCCUGUAAUACACUCUCCACUCCAUGAUCUAGGCUGCACCUCACUUUAGAAUCGGCAUGGCCUUUCCUCUGCAAACCAGCAGGCGACUUCUCCCAAUAAAGACCGUAAGUGCAGGCCCUGCGGCAGCCGGGCGGCCUAGGUGUCCUCCGCCUUCCUUUGGUCCCUACCCUCC